This 765-nucleotide ribosomal RNA is filed under the name uncultured Streptococcus sp. RNAcentral describes it as "bacterial SSU rRNA". It matches the Rfam family "Bacterial small subunit ribosomal RNA", at positions 28 to 776 of the family's 1533-position model. The record is from RNAcentral. Lineage: Bacteria; Bacillati; Bacillota; Bacilli; Lactobacillales; Streptococcaceae.
GACGAACGCUGGCGGCGUGCCUGAUACAUGCAAGUAGAACACUGAAGAGAGGAGCUUGCUCUUCUUGGAUGAGUUGCGAACGGGUGAGUAACGCGUAGGUAACCUGCCUUGUAGCGGGGGAUAACUAUUGGAAACGAUAGCUAAUACCGCAUAACAAUGGAUGACUCAUGUCAUUUAUUUGAAAGGGGCAAAUGCUCCACUACAAGAUGGACCUGCGUUGUAUUAGCUAGUAGGUGAGGUAACGGCUCACCUAGGCGACGAUACAUAGCCGACCUGAGAGGGUGAUCGGCCACACUGGGACUGAGACACGGCCCAGACUCCUACGGGAGGCAGCAGUAGGGAAUCUUCGGCAAUGGGGGCAACCCUGACCGAGCAACGCCGCGUGAGUGAAGAAGGUUUUCGGAUCGUAAAGCUCUGUUGUAAAUCAAGAACGAGUGUGAGAGUGGAAAGUUCACACUGUGACGGUAGCUUACCAGAAAGGGACGGCUAACUACGUGCCAGCAGCCGCGGUAAUACGUAGGUCCCGAGCGUUGUCCGGAUUUAUUGGGCGUAAAGCGAGCGCAGGCGGUUUGAUAAGUCUGAAGUUAAAGGCUGUGGCUCAACCAUAGUUCGCUUUGGAAACUGUCAAACUUGAGUGCAGAAGGGGAGAGUGGAAUUCCAUGUGUAGCGGUGAAAUGCGUAGAUAUAUGGAGGAACACCGGUGGCGAAAGCGGCUCUCUGGUCUGUAACUGACGCUGAGGCUCGAAAGCGUGGGGAGCGAACAGG